AGUCAAUGGGGCGAGCUGACGGAGCAUACCGCGUGAGGGAUGACGGCCUAUGGGUUGUAAACCUCUUUUCUCAGGGAGGAAAUCAAUGACGUUACCUGAGGAAUAAGCAUCGGCUAACUCCGUGCCAGCAGCCGCGGUAAGACGGAGGAUGCAAGUGUUAUCCGGAAUCACUGGGCGUAAAGCGUCUGUAGGUGGCUUAACAAGUCAACUGUUAAAUCUUGAAGCUCAACUUCUAAAUCGCAUUCAAAACUGUUAUGCUAUAGUAUAGUAGGGGUAAAGGGAAUUUCCAGUGGAGCGGUGAAAUGCGUAUAGAUUGGAAAGAACACCGAUGGCGAAGGCACUUUACUGGGCUAUUACUGACACUCACAGACUAAAGCUAGGGUAGCAAAUGGGAUUAGAUACCCCAGUAGUCCUAGCCGUAAACAAUGGAUACUAGAUGUUGGGCAGAUCGACCUGUUCAGUAUUAAAGCUAACGCGUUAAGUAUCCCGCCUGGGAAGUAUGCGCGCAAGCGUGAAACUCAAAGGAAUUGACGGA
RNAcentral lists this ribosomal RNA (535 nucleotides) under uncultured bacterium. RNAcentral's name for it is "bacterial SSU rRNA". It matches the Rfam family "Bacterial small subunit ribosomal RNA", at positions 367 to 917 of the family's 1533-position model. The record is from RNAcentral.